RNAcentral lists this long non-coding RNA (376 nucleotides) under Carica papaya (papaya). Its description in RNAcentral is "long non-coding RNA (CPAP_LNC015280)". The record is from RNAcentral. Lineage: Eukaryota; Viridiplantae; Streptophyta; Magnoliopsida; Brassicales; Caricaceae.
GAUAUCCUAGGAGAUGAUGAACAGACCGGGUUCAUAGGGAACUCUACCGUAAACGUUGUCUCAUACCGGACGGGGUAUGGAGAUGGCCUGCUUUACCCUCAUACCGGACGAGGUAUUGAGGUUUAAUGUCUUGGCACUCAUACCGGACAGGAUAUGGGGACGGUCCUAGAAUUAAAAUUGUUAAUGGAAAGGGUUCAGGUAUAGCGGAGACACGCCUAUGGAUACCCAUGGAUACUAGUAUGCUGGUGAAAUGAGAAACGGUAAUGAUUAAUUAUUGUUAAUGAAUAUGAAUUUAUGAUAUGUUCUAUAUUACUGAUUGUGCAUGAAGUUAUGAUCUGUAUAAUGUUAUUGUCUUUAUAGGUUGUUUUCGCAGGUU